GGCAGCACAGGAGAGCUUGCUCUCUGGGUGGCGAGUGGGGGACGGGUGAGGAAUACAUCGGAAUCUACUCUGUCGUGGGGGAUAACGUAGGGAAACUUACGCUAAUACCGCAUACGACCUACGGGUGAAAGCACGGGACCUUCCGGCCUUGCGCGAUUGAAUGAGCCGAUGUCGGAUUAUCUAGUUGGCGGGGUAAAGGCCCACCAAGGCGACGAUCCGUACCUGGUCUGAGAGGAUGAUCAGCCACACUGGAACUGAGACCCGGUCCAUACUCCUACGGGAGGCAGCAAUGGGGAAUAUUGGACAAUGGGCGCAAGCCUGAUCCACCCAUACCGCGUGGGUGAAGAACGCCUUCGGGUUGUAAAGCCCUUUUGUUGGGAAAGAAAUCCAUCUGGCUAAUACCCGGUUGGGAUGACGGUACCCAAAGAAUAAGCACCGGCUAACUUCGUGCCAGCAGCCGCGGUAAUACUAAGGGUGCAAGCGUUACUCGGAAUUACUGGGCGUAAAGCGUGCGUAUGUGGUCGUUUAAUUCCGUUGUGAAAGCCCUGGGCUCAACCUGGGAACUGCAAUGGAUACUGGACGACUAGAAUGUGGUAGAGGGUAUCGGAAUUCCUGGUGUAACAGUGAAAUGCAUAGAGAUCAAGAGGAACAUCCAUGGCGAACGCAGCUACCUGGACCAACAUUGACGCUGAAGCACGAGAGCGUGAGGAGCAAACAGGAUUACAUACCCUGGUAGUCCACGCCCUAAAC
This 750-nucleotide ribosomal RNA is filed under the name Stenotrophomonas maltophilia. RNAcentral's name for it is "bacterial SSU rRNA". It matches the Rfam family "Bacterial small subunit ribosomal RNA", at positions 65 to 807 of the family's 1533-position model. The record is from RNAcentral. Lineage: Bacteria; Pseudomonadati; Pseudomonadota; Gammaproteobacteria; Lysobacterales; Lysobacteraceae.